Molecule: ribosomal RNA, 255 nt
Filed under: uncultured bacterium
Lineage: Bacteria
Description: partial 16S ribosomal RNA
Rfam family: Bacterial small subunit ribosomal RNA
Source: RNAcentral
UACGUAGGGUGCAAGCGUUGUCCGGAAUUAUUGGGCGUAAAGAGCUCGUAGGCGGUUUGUCGCGUCGGCUGUGAAAACUCGAGGCUCAACCUCGGGCUUGCAGUGGAUACGGGCAGACUAGAGUGCGGUAGGGGGAGACUGGAAUUCCUGGUGUAGCGGUGGAAUGCGCAGAUAUCAGGAGGAACACCGAUGGCGAAGGCAGGUCUCUGGGCCGCAACUGACGCUGGAGGAGCGAAAGCAUGGGGAGCGAACAGG